Molecule: small nuclear RNA, 327 nt
Filed under: Canis lupus familiaris (dog)
Lineage: Eukaryota; Metazoa; Chordata; Mammalia; Carnivora; Canidae
Also listed under: 1 other name
Description: 7SK RNA
Rfam family: 7SK RNA
About the family: 7SK was discovered as an abundant small nuclear RNA in the mid-70s but a possible function has only recently been suggested. Two independent studies have found that 7SK RNA binds the CDK9/cyclin T complex (known as elongation factor P-TEFb). P-TEFb activates transcription by phosphorylating the C-terminal domain of RNA polymerase II.
Source: Rfam by way of RNAcentral
GGAUGUGAGGGUGAUCUGGCUGUGACAUUUGUCACCUCAUUAGGUCACCGGGGCUGAGUCUGCUGAUUUGGCUGCCAGGCAGGUUUUCCCUUCCCCCCUCACCGCUCCACGUGCGUCCUUUCCAAAGUGGGUGCUGCGUCCAAGAGGAUGACCUGGGAUAGAGGAGACCCACGCUUCUGUCAAGAAUAUAGGAGCAGCCAUGCUUCCUUGCUAGAAAUUCUAAGCAAGAUCUCAAGGUCCGUCUGUAGGAGAUUGUAGUUUCGUCAAGCUUCCAAGACUCCAGAUGCAACCGAAUGAGGUGCUGCAUGUGGCCGUCUGCCUUCCUUC